Molecule: ribosomal RNA, 547 nt
Filed under: uncultured bacterium
Lineage: Bacteria
Description: partial 16S ribosomal RNA
Rfam family: Bacterial small subunit ribosomal RNA
Source: RNAcentral
UGGGGAAUUUUGGACAAUGGGGGAAACCCUGAUCCAGCCAUCCCGCGUGUGCGAUGAAGGCCUUCGGGUUGUAAAGCACUUUUGGCAGGAAAGAAACGUCGCGGGUUAAUACCCCGCGAAACUGACGGUACCUGCAGAAUAAGCACCGGCUAACUACGUGCCAGCAGCCGCGGUAAUACGUAGGGUGCAAGCGUUAAUCGGAAUUACUGGGCGUAAAGCGUGCGCAGGCGGUUCGGAAAGAAAGAUGUGAAAUCCCAGAGCUUAACUUUGGAACUGCAUUUUUAACUACCGGGCCAGAGUGUGUCAGAGGGAGGUGGAAUUCCGCGUGUAGCAGUGAAAUGCGUAGAUAUGCGGAGGAACACCGAUGGCGAAGGCAGCCUCCUGGGAUAACACUGACGCUCAUGCACGAAAGCGUGGGGAGCAAACAGGAUUAGAUACCCUGGUAGUCCACGCCCUAAACGAUGUCAACUAGCUGUUGGGGCCUUCGGGCCUUGGUAGCGCAGCUAACGCGUGAAGUUGACCGCCUGGGGAGUACGGUCGCAAGAUU